ACAGAGGUCCCGAGCGUUGUUCGGAUUCACUGGGCGUAAAGGGUGCGUAGGUGGUUGGGUAAGUCUGAUGUGAAAGCUCGAAGCUUAACUUCGAAACGGCAUUGGAUACUAUCCGGCUUGAGGAUCGGAAGGGGGACUGGAAUUCUCGGUGUAGCAGUGAAAUGCGUAGAUAUCGAGAGGAACACCAGUGGCGAAAGCGAGUCCCUGGACGAAACCUGACACUGAGGCACGAAAGCUAGGGGAGCAAACAG
RNAcentral lists this ribosomal RNA (251 nucleotides) under uncultured prokaryote. RNAcentral describes it as "partial 16S rRNA". It matches the Rfam family "Bacterial small subunit ribosomal RNA", at positions 525 to 775 of the family's 1533-position model. The record is from RNAcentral.